CAAACACAUGCAAGACGAACGGACUUACAUUGAAGCCUAGCGAUAUGUAAGUUAGUGGCGGACGGGUGAGUAACGCGUGGGUAACCUGCCUUGUACUGGGGGACAACAGUUGGAAACGACUGCUAAUACCGCAUAAGCGCACAGCUUCGCAUGAAGCAGUGUGAAAAACUCCGGUGGUACAAGAUGGACCCGCGUCUGAUUAGCUGGUUGGUGAGGUAACGGCCCACCAAGGCGACGAUCAGUAGCCGGCCUGAGAGGGUGAACGGCCACAUUGGGACUGAGACACGGCCCAAACUCCUACGGGAGGCAGCAGUGGGGAAUAUUGCACAAUGGGGGAAACCCUGAUGCAGCAACGCCGCGUGAGUGAAGAAGUAUUUCGGUAUGUAAAGCUCUAUCAGCAGGAAAGAAAAUGACGGUACCUGACUAAGAAGCCCCGGCUAACUACGUGCCAGCAGCCGCGGUAAUACGUAGGGGGCAAGCGUUAUCCGGAUUUACUGGGUGUAAAGGGAGCGUAGACGGUGUGGCAAGUCUGAUGUGAAAGGCAUGGGCUCAACCUGUGGACUGCAUUGGAAACUGUCAUACUUGAGUGCCGGAGGGGUAAGCGGAAUUCCUAGUGUAGCGGUGAAAUGCGUAGAUAUUAGGAGGAACACCAGUGGCGAAGGCGGCUUACUGGACGGUAACUGACGUUGAGGCUCGAAAGCGUGGGGAGCAAACAGGAUUAGAUACCCUGGUAGUCCACGCCGUAAACG
This 749-nucleotide ribosomal RNA is filed under the name uncultured bacterium. RNAcentral describes it as "bacterial SSU rRNA". It matches the Rfam family "Bacterial small subunit ribosomal RNA", at positions 48 to 808 of the family's 1533-position model. The record is from RNAcentral.